Molecule: ribosomal RNA, 385 nt
Filed under: uncultured bacterium
Lineage: Bacteria
Description: bacterial SSU rRNA
Rfam family: Bacterial small subunit ribosomal RNA
Source: RNAcentral
AAUGGGGGAAACCCUGAUGCAGCAACGCCGCGUGGAGGAUGACGCAUUUCGGUGUGUAAACUCCUUUUAUAAGGGAAGAUAAUGACGGUACCUUAUGAAUAAGCACCGGCUAACUCCGUGCCAGCAGCCGCGGUAAUACGGAGGGUGCAAGCGUUACUCGGAAUCACUGGGCGUAAAGGAUGCGUAGGCUGUAAUAUAAGUCAGAAGUGAAAUCCAACGGCUUAACCGUUGAACUGCUUUUGAAACUGUUUUACUAGAAUAUGGGAGAGGUAGAUGGAAUUGGUGGUGUAGGGGUAAAAUCCGUAGAUAUCACCAGGAAUACCGAUUGCGAAGGCGAUCUACUGGAACAUUAUUGACGCUGAGGCAUGAAAGCGUGGGGAGCAAA